UGAGGAAUAUUGGACAAUGGAUGGAAAUCUGAUCCAGCCAUGCCGCGUGCAGGAAGACGGUCCUAUGGAUUGUAAACUGCUUUAGCAUGGGAGCAAUAAGGUGUACGCGUACACCGAUGAGAGUACCAUGAGAAUAAGCACCGGCUAACUCCGUGCCAGCAGCCGCGGUAAUACGGAGGGUGCAAGCGUUAUCCGGAUUUAUUGGGUUUAAAGGGUGCGUAGGCUGUUUGACAAGUCAGUGGUGAAAGCCCGGGGCUUAACUCCGGAAUUGCCGUUGAUACUGUUGAGCUGGAAUACGGAUGCCGUGGGAGGAAUGAGUAGUGUAGCGGUGAAAUGCAUAGAUAUUACUCAGAACACCGAUUGCGAAGGCAUCUCACGAAUCCGUCAUUGACGCUGAGGCACGAAAGCGUGGGGAUCAAACAGGAUUAGAUACCCUGGUAGU
RNAcentral lists this ribosomal RNA (442 nucleotides) under uncultured bacterium. Its description in RNAcentral is "bacterial SSU rRNA". It matches the Rfam family "Bacterial small subunit ribosomal RNA", at positions 355 to 794 of the family's 1533-position model. The record is from RNAcentral.